Onychomys torridus (southern grasshopper mouse) is the source of this 2073-nucleotide long non-coding RNA. RefSeq lists it as uncharacterized. Lineage: Eukaryota; Metazoa; Chordata; Mammalia; Rodentia; Cricetidae. The transcript is spliced from 6 exons. The record is from RefSeq and is a predicted model, not a curated record.
GGCUGCGCAUGCUCAGGUGCAAACAACCGUUCACCCAAACAACCAUCCAUCCACUUGUGCGUUCCUUCUAGCAGCUGGCGCUUUCUGAGCGCGUCCUGUGCAGGGCCCGGGUGGGGAUGCGUGGAUAAGAAGCGGCCGCAGUCACCCAACCCUGAGUGGCUCAAGGGCCAGGGCACAAGGGGCUCACAGCCACACUGACCUGCGUCACUCUAUUUUGUGUGACAGUUUGCUGGUUUCGCCUGCUGAUGGUGGCAGCCCCAGUAGUUCCUGACAAAUAGUAGGCUUACACGCAUGUGCGAUGUAUGGACCAAGUGCGGGCCCCGCCAACCCUGGAUUCGUUUGUUCUACUGCCUGUGAGCUGCAGGCGCAGGCCUCAGGCUGAGCACUGUGAGCCUGUUUCCUUCCUGCAGGAGCUCCCGCCCCUUAUAUCGGGAAAACUCCAAAGAGGAGAAGGUUGUGGAGCUUCAGCUGCUCUUUGAAACAGGUGCUCGGAGCCCCAGCAGAAGCAGAGGUCACCCUGCCCUGGACCCCGCUCCCCCAAAUGCCUGCAGCCACCCCAGUGUAGUUCCUCUUUAGCGACUCUGGCCUACAUGAGCUCCACUGGCUUUGCAUCCCGACACGCCAGAACACAGGAUGGAACAAGGGAGCAGACACCGCUAACCAUUUCCUCCUUCAUACUCUAAGGACAGGCCUGGAACAUGGGGAAGGCAAACUGGAAAGUUCAGUCUCUUCUCCAUUAGCAUCUCAGGAACAAGACUUUCUCAAAGGAAUAAAGCCAUUACACCAAACCAAGCACAGAAGCCUCAUUGGUGAAUUCCUACAAAUAUGUAAACAAAUAACACAAAGAGAUUACCACUGCUCAACUCACUGGCUUCACAUGAAUGUUCCAGAAGACCCCUGAUUCAGCAUUGGAUCUUCCUCAGCACUGUCACUUGUUACAGAAAAAAUAUCCUAAUAAAGGCUCAUGUGAGACAAGGACUUGUCUUUCAACUUUGGGGAGAUCAACAUCCUCCAAAACUCUGCUGGAGUUUGUCACUGAUGUGGUAAUUCACAGGAGAGACAGAAACACUGUGACCCAGCACUGUGCUGAUUUGAUUCUGUGUUUGGUCUUAUGGAAUCCUAGUCUCUCUACAGAAAGAGCUGAAGCCUUCAACACAGUGUGUAUGAGAAGGCUGCAAGUUUCCUCUAUGUCUUCAGUAAAAACAGCAGACUGAGGAGCUGUCCAUGUGGGUGGAGUGCCUUCAAGCACCAUGAAUGCUUGUCAAUAUGGAUGAGGAAUCUGAGCACCAGCUUAACUUCUCCAUGUUUUACAAGAAUCCACUUAUGAGUGAGUACAUACCACGUUUGUCCUUCAAGACAUCACUAUUAGCUACUGAAGUUUGAGCAUUCUGGAAGAGCCUAGAGCCACCCUGAGGCCACCCGAGGCUCUGCAGCCUGUGUACUGUUCUGGUCAAAUGCUCUGAGGUCUAGAGGCAGAACCAGGCUUCCUGCAUAGCACCAGUAUCAAGGAAAGGCCUAUGACCAACCAGUUCCUGUUAUGAUUUAAUGGAAGCCAGCGGGCUCCUGUGUUUCUGAGGACCACACCAGUCCCCUUCCUUGGCUCCUGUGUUUCUGAGGACCACACCAGUCCCCUUCCUUGGCUCCUGUGUUUCUGAGGAUCACACCAGUCCCCUUCCUUGGCUCCUGUGUUUCUGAGGACCACACCAGUCCCUGUCCUGGGAGACUAUGAGCAGAUGGAGGGCAGUGUCUUGAAGCACAACCCACACAGAGGAGAGUCAAUGCUAUGUUUUUGGGACUGCUGUUGUUUUAAGUAUAGUGACCUGGGCUCCUGAUCCUUUUGUUCUGGUUGUCCCCCAAAGGCCUGCUGCAUGGUCAAGGCCCUGUGACUUCCUUCACCUUGACAUUCUUCUUUUCCACCAUCUCUUCUGUGUGGAAGUGUUUCUUUCCCAGAUUUUGAGUUCUUGGAUGUUUCUUAACAAAAUGACACUCCUUCUUUUGGGUGAUGAACCCCUCUGUGAGAGGUGAAUGGAAGUAAAAUUUCUAGCCUUUGUAUGUCUGAUAAAGCAUAUAAUU